This 641-nucleotide ribosomal RNA is filed under the name uncultured Lachnospiraceae bacterium. Its description in RNAcentral is "bacterial SSU rRNA". It matches the Rfam family "Bacterial small subunit ribosomal RNA", at positions 87 to 746 of the family's 1533-position model. The record is from RNAcentral. Lineage: Bacteria; Bacillati; Bacillota; Clostridia; Lachnospirales; Lachnospiraceae.
GUGACUGAGUGGCGGACGGGUGAGUAACGCGUGGGUAACCUGCCUCAUACAGGGGGAUAACAGUUGGAAACGGCUACUAAUACCGCAUAAGCGCACAGUACCGCAUGGUACGGUGUGAAAAACUCCGGUGGUAUGAGAUGGACCCGCGUCUGAUUAGGUAGUUGGUGGGGUAACGGCCUACCAAGCCGACGAUCAGUAGCCGACCUGAGAGGGUGACCGGCCACAUUGGGACUGAGACACGGCCCAAACUCCUACGGGAGGCAGCAGUGGGGAAUAUUGCACAAUGGGGGAAACCCUGAUGCAGCGACGCCGCGUGAGCGAUGAAGUAUUUCGGUAUGUAAAGCUCUAUCAGCAGGGAAGAAAAUGACGGUACCUGACUAAGAAGCCCCGGCUAACUACGUGCCAGCAGCCGCGGUAAUACGUAGGGGGCAAGCGUUAUCCGGAUUUACUGGGUGUAAAGGGAGCGUAGACGGCAUGGCAAGCCAGAUGUGAAAGCCCGGGGCUCAACCCCGGGACUGCAUUUGGAACUGUCAGGCUAGAGUGUCGGAGAGGAAAGCGGAAUUCCUAGUGUAGCGGUGAAAUGCGUAGAUAUUAGGAGGAACACCAGUGGCGAAGGCGGCUUUCUGGACGAUGACUGACGU